GCGCCUCGUGAAUUCAUCUCCGGGGGUAGAGCACUGUUUCGGCUAGGGGGCCAUCCCGGCUUACCAACCCGAUGCAAACUGCGAAUACCGGAGAAUGUUAUCACGGGAGACACACGGCGGGUGCUAACGUCCGUCGUGAAGAGGGAAACAACCCAGACCGCCAGCUAAGGUCCCAAAGUCAUGGUUAAGUGGGAAACGAUGUGGGAAGGCCCAGACAGCCAGGAUGUUGGCUUAGAAGCAGCCAUCAUUUAAAGAAAGCGUAAUAGCUCACUGGUCGAGUCGGCCUGCGCGGAAGAUGUAACGGGGCUAAACCAUGCACCGAAGCUGCGGCAGCGACACUGUGUGUUGUUGGGUAGGGGAGCGUUCUGUAAGCCUGUGAAGGUGUGUCGUGAGGCAUGCUGGAGGUAUCAGAAGUGCGAAUGCUGACAUAAG
Molecule: ribosomal RNA, 432 nt
Filed under: Salmonella enterica
Lineage: Bacteria; Pseudomonadati; Pseudomonadota; Gammaproteobacteria; Enterobacterales; Enterobacteriaceae
Description: partial 23S ribosomal RNA
Rfam family: Bacterial large subunit ribosomal RNA
Source: RNAcentral